UACCUGGUUGAUCCUGCCAGUAGUCAUAUGCUUGUCUCAAAGAUUAAGCCAUGCAUGUCUAAGUUUAAGCAAUAAACAGUGAAACUGCGAAUGGCUCAUUAAAUCAGUCAUAGUUUAUUUGAUGGUACCUUACUACAUGGAUAACUGUGGUAAUUCUAGAGCUAAUACAUGCUGAAAAAUCCCGACUUCUGGAAGGGAUGUAUUUAUUAGAUCCAAAACCAAUGGCCUUCGGGUCCCUAUGGUGAAUCAUGAUAACUGCUCGAAUCGCAUGGCCUUGCGCCGGCGAUGCUUCAUUCAAAUAUCUACCCUAUCAACUUUCGAUGGUAGGAUAGAGGCCUACCAUGGUGAUGACGGGUAACGGGGAAUAAGGGUUCGAUUCCGGAGAGAGGGCCUGAGAAACGGCCCUCAGGUCUAAGGACACGCAGCAGGCGCGCAAAUUAUCCCCUGGCAACACUUUGCCGAGAUAGUGACAAUAAAUAACAAUGCAGGGCUCUUACGGGUCUUGCAAUUGGAAUGAGUACAAUUUAAAUCCCUUAACGAGGAUCAAUUGGAGGGCAAGUCUGGUGCCAGCAGCCGCGGUAAUUCCAGCUCCAAUAGCGUAUAUUAAAAUUGUUGCCGUUAAAAAGCUCGUAGUCGAACUUCGGGCUCUGUCAGCCGGUCCGCCUUCUUGGUGUGUACUUGUUUGACGGAGCCUUACCUCCUGGUGAACGGCAAUGUCCUUUACUGGGUGUCGUCGCAAACCAGGACUUUUACUUUGAAAAAAUUAGAGUGUUCAAAGCAGGCCUUUGCCCGAAUACAUUAGCAUGGAAUAAUAAAAUAGGACGCGCGUUCCCAUUUUGUUGGUUUCUGAGAUCGCCGUAAUGAUUAAUAGGGAUAGUUGGGGGCAUUUGUAUUCCGUCGUCAGAGGUGAAAUUCUUGGAUUGCCGGAAGACAAACUACUGCGAAAGCAUUUGCCAAGGAUGUUUUCAUUGAUCAAAACGAAGGGAAGGGGGAUCGAAAACGAUUAGAUAACCGUUGUAGUCUCUUCUGUAACUAUGCCAAAUUGGGGAUCGGGUACAGGAUUUUUAAUGACUGGUUCGGCACCCGAAAAGAUCUUUAAUAUGUUUGUGGGGGGGGAGGAUUGGGUCCCCCGGCGGAAACUUAAAAGGAUUUGCGGAAGGGCCACCCCACUGUGGAGCCUGGGGCUUAUUUGUUACACCCGGGGAAUCACACGGCGCAACACAAAAGGAUAGGCAUUGGAGCCUUUCUGAUCUUUGGGUUGGGGGCAGGCGGCCCUUACUUGGGAGAGAUUUUUUGUUAUUCUAAAAAAAAAACUACCCGUAAAAACCCCGCUUGGGCGUGUUCUUUAGGAAACCUUUCUAGGAAUAGGAAACGUGGGUCUAUUUGCGCCCCCGAAACCGGCUCUCCAGGAGUAGAUCCGAGAAGUUUUUUAAAAUUUUAAAAUGGUUUUACGUAACUCGCCAUUGAUGCCGGACAAACUCCCCCGGGGUUUACUCUACU
Molecule: ribosomal RNA, 1500 nt
Filed under: Rhodotorula sp. 'maule'
Lineage: Eukaryota; Fungi; Basidiomycota; Microbotryomycetes; Sporidiobolales; Sporidiobolaceae
Description: SSU rRNA
Rfam family: Eukaryotic small subunit ribosomal RNA
Source: RNAcentral